CUGAAGUUGAUGGGGGUGGGGCCAGCUCCAUGACCACCGGCCCUAGAGGAGGGGGCCAGGGGCGGUGGUUCGGCAGGCAGAGGGCGGCAGCCGGGGCGACAAGGCGGCGACGGUGGGAGGGGAAGGCAGGAGGGCAGCGUGCCAUGACCUGUGUUCCAAAGCUUGUGCGAUGGAGGCGGCAAAAAUCGCUGAAAGCGAUGAAUAGAUGCACCCUUCACUUGCUCCAUUGAGCCAGCGGACCUUUGCCGGCCACCACGACACCAAGCCAGAUGCUCCUGUACAGUGCUUACAAUUUGCACACGAACCUACAACGCUGAAGAGAUACCUGUACCCCUCUUAUGUACCUCGUGCAGAAGAAACGAAAGAACCAAAGAAUGUACACUGCUCAAGCCGUCAGGCGAGCAAAGCCAAAGGAAUGCAAAUAUGCAAUUGCAAUGUUGCAGACCA
Molecule: long non-coding RNA, 447 nt
Organism: Panicum virgatum (switchgrass)
Lineage: Eukaryota; Viridiplantae; Streptophyta; Magnoliopsida; Poales; Poaceae
Exons: 2
Source: RefSeq, a predicted model, not a curated record